Molecule: ribosomal RNA, 517 nt
Filed under: Tricholomopsis rutilans
Lineage: Eukaryota; Fungi; Basidiomycota; Agaricomycetes; Agaricales
Description: eukaryotic LSU rRNA
Rfam family: 5.8S ribosomal RNA (bases 144-297)
Source: RNAcentral
UGCUGGGAGGUUGUUGCUGGCUCCUUUGGGGGCAUGUGCACGCCUUUUACCUUUCUUUCCACCUGUGCACCGUUUGUAGGCAGAGCCUAUGAUUUUACAUACUCGAUAACAUAUGUGUAUUGGUUGGCUCUUAAUAUAAAUACAACUUUCAACAAUGGAUCUCUUGGUUCUCGCAUCGAUGAAGAACGCAGCGAAAUGCGAUAAGUAAUGUGAAUUGCAGAUCUCAGUGAAUCAUCGAAUCUUUGAACGCACCUUGCGCCCUUUGGUAUUCCAAAGGGCAUGCCUGUUUGAGUGUCAUUAAAUUCUCAAAGUUUAUGUUUUUAAGCUUUGGAUUUGAAGAUUGCUGGCUUACUCCAGAGUCAGCUUCUUUGAAAUGCAUUAGUAGGAUCAUCAUGCUGGAUCGAUACAGGUGUGAUAAGUUAUCACCAUCUGAGAUUAGGCAAGAACCUGCUCAUAACUCUUUCUUUGACCUUUGACCUCAAAUCAGGUAAGACUACCCGCUGAACUUAAGCAUAUC